CGAAGGUGCAAGCGUUACUCGGAAUUACUGGGCGUAAAGCGUGCGUAGGUGGUUGUUAAGUCUGAUGUGAAAGCCCUGGGCUCAACCUGGGAAUUGCAUUGGAUACUGGCAGGCUAGAGUACGGUAGAGGAUGGCGGAAUUCCCGGUGUAGCAGUGAAAUGCGUAGAGAUCGGGAGGAACAUCCGUGGCGAAGGCGGCCAUCUGGACCUGUACUGACACUGAGGCACGAAAGCGUGGGAGCAAACAGGAUU
This 251-nucleotide ribosomal RNA is filed under the name uncultured bacterium. RNAcentral describes it as "partial 16S ribosomal RNA". It matches the Rfam family "Bacterial small subunit ribosomal RNA", at positions 527 to 779 of the family's 1533-position model. The record is from RNAcentral.